CAGUAGCCGCGGUAAUACGAAGGGUGCAAGCGUUACUCGGAAUUACUGGGCGUAAAGCGUGCGUAGGUGGUGGUUUAAGUCCGUUGUGAAAGCCCUGGGCUCAACCUGGGAAUUGCAGUGGAUACUGGGUCACUAGAGUGUGGUAGAGGAUAGUGGAAUUUCCGGUGUAGCAGUGAAAUGCGUAGAGAUCGGAAGGAACAUCUGUGGCGAAGGCGACUAUCUGGGCCAACACUGACGCUGAUGCACGAAAGCUAGGGGAGCAAACAGGAUUAGAUACCCCGGUAGUCCCUGUCUCUUAUAC
Molecule: ribosomal RNA, 301 nt
Filed under: uncultured bacterium
Lineage: Bacteria
Description: partial 16S ribosomal RNA
Rfam family: Bacterial small subunit ribosomal RNA
Source: RNAcentral